Long non-coding RNA from Colius striatus (speckled mousebird), 616 nucleotides. RefSeq lists it as uncharacterized. The transcript is spliced from 4 exons. Lineage: Eukaryota; Metazoa; Chordata; Aves; Coliiformes; Coliidae. The record is from RefSeq and is a predicted model, not a curated record.
UCCCGGCUGUCUUCAAAAGUAACGUGUAGUUGAAAAGAAAUAUUACCCCGCUUUAUUAAAUCAUCUGUCUCCGGGGGCGUGAUCCGGAGCCUCUUGAAGUCCACAGGACUGUUUGAAUAGAAACCUUUGGUGGAUGGGAAUUCCUCAUGUUGAGCUGUUCGUGAGCAGGUCAGCAGAGAUCCCUUAGCACAGAUGGCGAGAUGUAUAAGAAGAGCUCAUAUCUAGUGCCUGCUCUUGUUCCCUGUGAAAUCCUUCUAAAUUCUGGCCACUGACUACAAUGAGUGCAGAAGUGGGCUUGGCAUCAGAGAUUGCAGUGUUGGACUGUUUUGCUUGGAGAAGACUCGUCCCUCUGUAACAGUGUGGGGCCCCUCCCAUGAGAGACAGUCCUCCAUGAACUUUUUCAACGUGGCUUCUUCCCAUUGACUGCAGUUCUUCAGAAACUACUCUAGCAUGGGACCCCAUGGGGUCACAAGUCCUGACAGCAAACCUGCUCCAUCAUGGGCUCCCUUCUGUCCUUGAGUCCACAGGUCCUGCCACGAACUUGCUCCAGUGUGGGUUUUCCACAGAUUCACAGCUUCCUUCAGGCAUCCACGCACUCCGUCGUGGGGCCCUCCCC